This 448-nucleotide ribosomal RNA is filed under the name uncultured bacterium. RNAcentral's name for it is "SSU rRNA". It matches the Rfam family "Bacterial small subunit ribosomal RNA", at positions 26 to 518 of the family's 1533-position model. The record is from RNAcentral.
AGAGCGAACGCUGGCGGCAGGCCUAACACAUGCAAGUCGAGCGCCCGUAGCAAUACGGGAGCGGCAGACGGGAUAGUAACACGUGGGAACGCGCCCUUCGGUUCGGAAUAACUCAGGGAAACUUGAGCUAAUACCGGAUACGCCCUUACGGGGAAAGAUUUAUUGCCGAAGGAACGGCCCGCGUCCGAUUAGCUAGUUGGUGAGGUAAUGGCUCACCAAGGCGACGAUCGGUAGCUGGUCUGAGAGGAUGACCAGCAUCACUGGGACUGAGACACGGCCCAGACUCCUACGGGAGGCAGCAGUGGGGAAUAUUGGACAAUGGGCGCAAGCCUGAUCCAGCCAUGCCGCGUGGAUGAUGAAGGCCUUCGGGUUGUAAAACUCUUUUACCCGGGAAGAUAAUGACUGUACCGGGAGAAUAAGCUCCGGCUAACUUCGUGCCAGCAGCCGC